GGAUCUUCUGGUUGUUUUACAAGUGAGGGUUUGGGUGUGCAUGACAUUCUCCCUUCACACACACACUUUAUGCAUAUCAUGAGUGGGGCCCUAUACCCGGGUCUGAGUGUAGCCUAGAAAUAGAGGGGUUGUGUAGCGGUGCCAUUUGGGACAUACUUCCUGUUUGACUAUCGUGAGAACCCCAUUUAGAGUAUGAUCUCUUCAUUUGUCGCUACGCAUCUAGUUGAUUACUCGACUGUUGUAGAGAUG
This 249-nucleotide long non-coding RNA is filed under the name Vigna radiata. RNAcentral's name for it is "long non-coding RNA (VRAD_LNC011115)". The record is from RNAcentral. Lineage: Eukaryota; Viridiplantae; Streptophyta; Magnoliopsida; Fabales; Fabaceae.